This 426-nucleotide ribosomal RNA is filed under the name uncultured bacterium. RNAcentral's name for it is "bacterial SSU rRNA". It matches the Rfam family "Bacterial small subunit ribosomal RNA", at positions 356 to 773 of the family's 1533-position model. The record is from RNAcentral.
AGGGAAUCUUCCGCAAUGGACGAAAGUCUGACGGAGCAACGCCGCGUGAGUGAUGAAGGUUUUCGGAUCGUAAAACUCUGUUGUUAGGGAAGAACAAGUACCGUUCGAAUAGGGCGGUACCUUGACGGUACCUAACCAGAAAGCCACGGCUAACUACGUGCCAGCAGCCGCGGUAAUACGUAGGUGGCAAGCGUUGUCCGGAAUUAUUGGGCGUAAAGCGCGCGCAGGCGGUUUCUUAAGGUUGAUGUGAAAGCCCACGGCCCAACCGUGGAGGGUCAUUGGAAACUGGGAGACUUGAGUGCAGAAGAGGAGAGUGGAAUUCCACGUGUAGCGGUGAAAUGCGUAGAGAUGUGGAGGAACACCAGUGGCGAAGGCGACUCUCCGGUCUGUAACUGACGCUGAGGCGCGAAAGCGUGGGGAGCGAAC